Molecule: ribosomal RNA, 253 nt
Filed under: uncultured bacterium
Lineage: Bacteria
Description: partial 16S ribosomal RNA
Rfam family: Bacterial small subunit ribosomal RNA
Source: RNAcentral
GACGGGGGAUGCAAGUGUUAUCCGGAAUCACUGGGCGUAAAGCGUCUGUAGGUGGUCAAAUAAGUCAACUGUUAAAUCUUGAGGCUCAACCUCAAAAUCGCAGUCGAAACUAUUCGACUAGAGUAUAGUAGGGGUAAAGGGAAUUUCCAGUGGAGCGGUGAAAUGCGUAGAGAUUGGAAAGAACACCGAUGGCGAAGGCACUUUACUGGGCUAUUACUAACACUGAGAGACGAAAGCUAGGGUAGCAAAUGGG